Molecule: long non-coding RNA, 604 nt
Organism: Clupea harengus (Atlantic herring)
Lineage: Eukaryota; Metazoa; Chordata; Actinopteri; Clupeiformes; Clupeidae
Source: Ensembl
GUGAGUGUCCAUCGGCCCCGUCUUUAUACCUGUUAAGGGUAAAACUUCCAAAAGCAUCACCAAACAGUUGUAGAGAUCAAAGAAGGAGGAAAAAUGGCCUCUCUUCAAUUUUAGCCCCUUCCUCCGUACAGAACAGCUUCAAGUUCAGGACUUUGACUUGGCCAUUACAAAACAUAAACUCUUAUUCUUCUUCUUUUACCAACCUUUGGGAGAUUGAUUUGUGUUUUUGGGGGUUGUGGUCUUGCUGCAUGACCCACGUGUCUUGAGAUUCACUUCAGACAGACAUCCUCACAUUUUCUUUUGGAAUUUGCUGGGAUAAUUCAUAAUGCAUUGAGCUGUCCAGGCCCAGCUGCAAAACAGACCCCAACCAUGAUCCUCCCAUCCCCUCGUGUCACAGAUGGUAUAAGGUUCUUCUGCUUGUGUCACAGAUGGAAUAAGGUUCUUAUGCUUGUGUCACAGAUGGAAUAAGGUUCUUAUGCUUGUUUCACAGAUGGUAUAAGGUUCUUAUGCUUGUUUCACAGAUGGAAUAAGGUUCUUAUGCUUGUUUCACAGAUGGUAUAAGGUUCUUAUGCUGGAAUGCAGUGUUGCCUUUCUCUGAACAUAA